This 102-nucleotide small nuclear RNA is filed under the name Salvator merianae (Argentine black and white tegu). Lineage: Eukaryota; Metazoa; Chordata; Lepidosauria; Squamata; Teiidae. The record is from RNAcentral.
GUGCUCACUUUGGCAGCACAUAGACUAAAACUGGAACAAUGCAGAGAAGAUUAGCAUGGCCCUUGUGCCAAAAAAAUAGGAAUUGGGGUGUUGCUUUUGUAU